RNAcentral lists this unclassified non-coding RNA (271 nucleotides) under Hevea brasiliensis (rubber tree). The record is from RNAcentral. Lineage: Eukaryota; Viridiplantae; Streptophyta; Magnoliopsida; Malpighiales; Euphorbiaceae.
GGAUAGAAACAAAAUGUGCAGUCCAAAAUGUACAGCAGAAAGAGUAGGUAGAGAGGGAUGGUAAAAUGCACACAAAUGAAGAUCGCACAAAUUAUUUGAGGCUGUAUUUGAAAGAAAACUAUAAUAUAUAUGAAUAAGAAUAAAAAAGAAAGGUAGGUUGGUCAUGGGCAGGAACCUGUCAAAUCAAGCAGAGUCUCUUCCACAAGUUCUUCCAGCAAUUUCCCUUCUAUUUCCUUCUCUAAAUCAUCUAUUUCCUCUUGUAAUUUCUGAG